CCUACGGGAGGCUGCAGUGAGGAAUAUUGGUCAAUGGUCGGGAGACUGAACCAGCCAAGCCGCGUGAGGGAGGAAGGUACAGAGUAUCGUAAACCUCUUUUGUCAGGGAACAAAGACUGGGACGCGUCCCCGGAUGAGUGUACCUGAAGAAAAAGCAUCGGCUAACUCCGUGCCAGCAGCCGCGGUAAUACGGAGGAUGCGAGCGUUAUCCGGAUUUAUUGGGUUAAAAGGGUGCGCAGGCGGUCUGUUAAGUCAGCGGGCAAAGCCCGGGGCUCACCCCCGGCACGCCGUUGAAACUGGCAGUCUCGAGUUGGAGAGAAGUAUGCGGAAUGCGCGUUGUAGCGGUGAAAUGCAUAGAUAUCGCGCAGAACUCCGAUUGCGAAGGCAGCAUGCCGGCUCCACACUGACGCUGAGGCACGAAAGCGUGGGUAUCUAACAGGAUUAGAUACCCUGGUAGUC
RNAcentral lists this ribosomal RNA (459 nucleotides) under uncultured bacterium. RNAcentral's name for it is "partial 16S ribosomal RNA". It matches the Rfam family "Bacterial small subunit ribosomal RNA", at positions 338 to 795 of the family's 1533-position model. The record is from RNAcentral.